CUCCUGCCUAGCUCGACGGGGCGAAAAGCCGGACACCUUCACCGGCCUGGCAGGGGCUCCCAAAUUGAAGG
Molecule: small RNA, 71 nt
Filed under: Burkholderia cepacia
Lineage: Bacteria; Pseudomonadati; Pseudomonadota; Betaproteobacteria; Burkholderiales; Burkholderiaceae
Description: int-alpA
Rfam family: int-alpA RNA
About the family: Acidobacteria (1 example), Planctomycetes (1 example), Proteobacteria.
Source: RNAcentral